GCACGGGUGGCGCAAUGGAUAGCGCAGCAGCCACCGAAGCUGCCGGGUGCGGGUUCAAGUCCCGCCCCGUGCA
Molecule: transfer RNA, 73 nt
Filed under: Lachnospira eligens
Lineage: Bacteria; Bacillati; Bacillota; Clostridia; Lachnospirales; Lachnospiraceae
Also listed under: 8 other names
Description: [Eubacterium] eligens tRNA-Arg(ccg)
Rfam family: tRNA
About the family: Transfer RNA (tRNA) molecules are approximately 80 nucleotides in length.
Source: RNAcentral